Molecule: long non-coding RNA, 2291 nt
Organism: Gallus gallus (chicken)
Lineage: Eukaryota; Metazoa; Chordata; Aves; Galliformes; Phasianidae
Source: Ensembl
GAAAUACACUGCCCUGCAAGAAAUACGCUGCCCACCACCUCCUCUCUGAAUCCCUCCCCAGUUUCACUGAGACAAUAAUAUAUUGCAAAAAUACUCUUUCAUUAUUAUUAUUAUUAUUAUUAUUUAAAUGACCGUUUUUUGCUGCUUUCUGUACUUUGCACGACACAGUUCUCACCCUGUUUUGAUCAGCAAGGUGUUUUUGUUCCCUUUUCCCCUGUUUUUCUCCUUAUUUUCAUCUGUCGAGUGCUUGUUUUUGCCCGCGUUAGCAGGACGCAGUUGAAUUGAAGGUUUCAUGUGUUGGGGCCGCGGAGAGAAAUUUGGCCAUAACUUGAGGGAAAGUCUGAUGUGGGGCUGAGGGACGGUCUCGAAUUCAGGGCUAAAUCUCUGUGCAGCGGAUGGUGUGCGCAGAGUUCUCAGCCCCACGCUGAGCCACGCGGGCAGAGCUCUGCUGCUCACUGGUGCAGAUGGUCCCCAGACUCAGCAAUUCCCACAAUAUUCCUAUUGACUAAAAAAGAAGAUGCCGCAGCUGUCAGCCACCCACCUUUAAGGACCGCUCUGAAACAGCAUUGCUUCGUUUGGCAAAGUGCAGCAAGAAGAAGAAAGGGGAUUUUUUUUCCCCCCCUUUUCCCCUGUUUUUUUCUUUCCCUUCAGUGUUGUGAGCCUCACUUGCCAGAUUUCAUUUCGCCUUUUGUUGUGAAGCUGUUUAGACCAAAGAAGCAUAACGUACCUGUGCUUCGGAGCGGGGUCUGAGCUUCCAUUUAAUUGCCUGAAUCUGGAAGUUGAAUUGUAUUUAAAAAGAAAUGAGGCUAUUAAUAAUAAUCUAAGAACUGGCAGCGCUGUGGCGGUAAAAUAUAGAUUUAAUUUUUAAUCUUGGGCCUGCAGAAGUGUUUUAAAAUAAUGCAGCGGGCAAAGGAGCAAAGGAGCAGGAACUGUGCCUUGAAGAUUCUCCCUGCGCCUUCAGGAGGAUGCUGGGCUGAGCCAAAAUCAAAGCGCUCUGCUGUGCUCGCGCUGUGCUGCUGAGGAGUUGGUUUCAGAGGAGUUCCCUCAGCCGGUCAGAGAUCUCAGCAUCUGUUGCAGCCGGGAUGCAUUCCUUGAUCGUUUCUGAGUCUGCCAUUAUUUUUCUGCCUGCCCAGUGUCCCAGGGACGUGAAACGAAGCCGCUGCGCUUUGCUGCCGAGCACUGAAACUCUGCACCAACAUUCAAUUUGAUCUCUCGGAACUGACUGCAAUAAAGUGGUUUCGUCAGCACACACUUGUGAUAAAAAGGCGACACGAAGAAAGCCAGCGAGCUGAAAGGCCCUGCGUUUUCCUGGGAAGACAAUAGGAUAUCUGGCUCUUUAUUUGUUUCGUGGAUUCCUUGUGCAGCCAUUUAAAUUCAGCCGAAGGCUCCAAAUGUCUAAACUUUAUCCUGGGCAUUUUAUUUAUUUUUUUUUCAGUGCUGGAAAGGAAUAGAGUUAAGUGUCCCAAGGGGAGUUUUAUAGAAAAUGCUAUGUGCAAUGUUAAUGAGUUGGGAAGGGGUCGUAUGUUUUUUCAUAUAGAGCCUAUGCAGGAACAAAUAUGGAACCGGAGGAGAAACCAUCUGCAGGGACCCAGUGAGGUGUGCCAGCGGGUGAUCCUGGGCUGCUGUCACCCCUAAAUGAUGAACAAAAGACUUCAAUCCCAAGAGCCCCCCGUGCCCCUGCAUGGCUCUGUGCUGGGCUGGGUGAAUAGCCGGGGCUGGAAGAAAUGACAAACUUCUUGGGUGCCACAAGAGAUUGCUUCAGCGUUACUGAUCCUCACUCUGCUCGUUACUGAAAAUGCAUCCAGCAGCUAUAUGGGUCAGACUGCUAAAUUUGUAGACACGGAGUGUCAGGAAGCCUUUUUGUCAACUUCGUACCGUUUAGUAUAUUUGUCCUCAAGUUCAAAGCAAUCCUGGCCCCAGACUUGUGAUAUUUUCUGCCCUUUCCCCUUUCUGUUGACUCAGGCCUCUUCCCUUUGAGGUCAACAUCAAAAUAAAGAUGUAUGUUUCCUCAGCCUGACCAUGGCUCUGAGUCUUUAGAUCAGCAAUCCUAUAGUCCAUAUGUCUUCCCAUCUGUCAGCCAGCAUUUGAAGCCAGCUUGCUCCUCUAUUCUUUCAGACAAGUGUGAGAAUCAGAAGUUUCUUUAAUGACGGUUUCAGGCCUUAAAGCAUUUGCUAAGAUAUUACCUAUUAAGAUCCCUUGAUGGCACCUUGAAUAGAGAUCAAAAGCAGCUGAGUUCACUCCGUAAAUCUCAUCUGGCCUUCAGUUUAGGGUGCUGGGAGAGGGGUGGGGAG